AAGCUCCAGCCAAGCCCAGGGACUCUCUCUGCCUGCUCCCUGAGGAUCCAUAUGUAAAAUCUCAGCUCCUCCCCAGCACCACGUCUGCCUGCAUGCUGCCAUGCUUCUCGCCAUGAUGACAAUGGACUAAACCUCUGAACUGUAGGCCAGCCAAUAGUUGGUAGCUUCUCCAGCUUUGAUCUGGAAGUGCUACCCCCAUUGAUGCUUCCCAUAACUGUCACUUCUAGGAGAUGGGACCAAGACAGGAGCCCUUAAGACCUGAGAUCCGGAUGUGCCGACUCUCUCGGUUCCUGGACCCUGGAUACUGGAGGUAGACUGAGCAGAGUUCUCUAGAGAACACUGCUGGACUGCACUUCAUCUCUCCCGAGCCCUGUAACCUAUCCCUUCACUUGAAAAUGGAUGCAACUGAAGGUCAUCCUCUUAAGCACCAAAUUAAGCCUCAGAAAGACAACAUCACAUGCCUCUUCCCGUUUAUGGAUCCCAGAUUUAAUAGAGAUGUAGAUGAGCACACAGGACAUGAAGGAGGAGUGAAGAGAAAUGUUAUAAACUCCAUGAAGAACAAAUGGUCAGGGCAGAUCUCAUUUCUCGAAGUAAGAUGGAGCCUCAGAAAGUUAAGGCUAGAGAAGCAGAUGUGAAAGGUCAGACCUAAUCACAUGGCCAACUGAACAGUUCCUGGCUGCCAGGUGAGUAGCUUCCAAGAACCUCAGAGCUGUUGGCAAAG
Molecule: non-coding RNA, 721 nt
Organism: Peromyscus maniculatus bairdii (prairie deer mouse)
Lineage: Eukaryota; Metazoa; Chordata; Mammalia; Rodentia; Cricetidae
Source: RefSeq, a predicted model, not a curated record